CUGGCGGCAUGCCUUACACAUGCAGUCGAACGGCAGCACGGGAGCAAUCCUGGUGGCGAGUGGCGAACGGGUGAGUAAUAUAUCGGAACGUGCCCAGUCGUGGGGGAUAACGCAGCGAAAGCUGUGCUAAUACCGCAUACGAUCUCUGGAUGAAAGCGGGGGACCUUCGGGCCUCGCGCGAUUGGAGCGGCCGAUAUCAGAUUAGCUAGUUGGUGGGGUAAAAGCUUACCAAGGCGACGAUCUGUAGCUGGUCUGAGAGGACGACCAGCCACACUGGAACUGAGACACGGUCCAGACUCCUACGGGAGGCAGCAGUGGGGAAUUUUGGACAAUGGGCGCAAGCCUGAUCCAGCAAUGCCGCGUGCAGGAUGAAGGCCUUCGGGUUGUAAACUGCUUUUGUACGGAACGAAACGGCUCUUUCUAAUAAAGAGGGCUAAUGACCGGUCCCGUAAGAAUAACACCGGCUAACUACGUGCCAGCAG
This 482-nucleotide ribosomal RNA is filed under the name uncultured beta proteobacterium. RNAcentral describes it as "bacterial SSU rRNA". It matches the Rfam family "Bacterial small subunit ribosomal RNA", at positions 36 to 514 of the family's 1533-position model. Lineage: Bacteria; Pseudomonadati; Pseudomonadota; Betaproteobacteria. The record is from RNAcentral.